RNAcentral lists this long non-coding RNA (621 nucleotides) under Trifolium pratense (red clover). Its description in RNAcentral is "long non-coding RNA (TPRA_LNC009600)". Lineage: Eukaryota; Viridiplantae; Streptophyta; Magnoliopsida; Fabales; Fabaceae. The record is from RNAcentral.
UCGAUUCUUUUACCUUUUUUUUUUUAUAUAUAUUUGGUAUUUACUCAUAUCUCAACUCAUAUCAUAUCUCACUAACUAAAUGAGUCUUACUUUCCUACUUUCCUAUUACUAACUAAUUCAAUAAACCUUUUUUUUAAACAUAAAUUGUGACUCAUCCAACAAGUGCUUUUGCUGAAGAUCACUACUGGGAAACACUAGCAUAACUACUACAAGAUACAUAAGCAUCAACCUCAAAGAAUUAAUAGCCUUUUGGAACAUAAGAACAACAAGAAUUACGGUCAAUGCUCUCUUCGCUUACAAACAAAAAACAGUCAAUACUCUUAGAAAUUGUGUUCUAAAGCUUGAAAAUCAAGUCAUGGUAAAAUUGAAGUUAGAUAAAUUCUAUAAUAUCUUGCAGUUAGGACUUAGGAUGUANNNNNNNNNNNNNNNNNNAGCUAACUAUUGAGUAAAUGCAUGGCUCACUAACUCUAAUAAUAAUUCAUUUCUUCUUAAAAAAUAAUAAUAAUUCAUUUCAUCACAAUAUAGAGAUAAAUAGGCAUACUGUUGAGGUCACAACAAAAUUUAUGGAAUAUAAAUUCCUAAAUUGUUAUGGCAUGAUGCUGGAAGUGCACAUAGACAUAC